This is a long non-coding RNA of Patella vulgata (common limpet), 873 nucleotides long. RefSeq lists it as uncharacterized. The record is from RefSeq and is a predicted model, not a curated record. The transcript has 2 exons. NCBI's taxonomy places the organism in Eukaryota, Metazoa, Mollusca, Gastropoda, Patellidae.
AUUAUUAACACAUUCCAGAUUCAUAAUAAUUUUUAAAAUAAUAUUUGGAAUGUAUUUUAGAAUCUGUUCAUAACAGCGGUGCCUUACCAUCCGCCAAACCACAGUUCUCUGCAAUACAAUAUAAAUAAUUUGAGUGGUGGACCGAUUAUAGUAGUUGGUCAAAAUCUAUUUGAUUUCCAAUGUACGAACUGAAAUUAGCAACCCCAAAUCCAAGUAAAAUAAACACGGGUCUACAUUCUGUGUUUGUUUAUAUUAUGUUUUAAUAUUUUAACAUAUAAACAGGGGUGUAUGUUUAUUAAUAUAAACACUAUGUUUACAUUACAAAUAUUUGUCAUGGCUAAAAUAUUUUUCAUUAUUAUUUUGUGUCAAAAGGUGAACGUCGCUUUAGUAUAUUUUAGUACAUCAUGGUAUAGUAAACAAGUAUGUCGAGUUACAGAAAAACCCAUGUCAAUAUACUCUAAUGGAAAAUUUCGAACACCAUAUUAUCAGCUGUGUAAAGUAAUAUUAUAUAUAGAUACUAAUCGAGAGGGGUGUGCCACAUUAGCUUCGAUGAUAUCGAAUGGUUCAAGACACACUGUGCAGAUAAGCAGAGAAGAUAACUGGUAUUCAUAAUGACGAUCAGAAACAAAAUCAUAACACCCAUACGUAAAGUCCGUGGUAACAAAGUGAUCUACAAAAUACAUUAUAUAAUCAAACUCUUAUCUAGUUCCAGCUUAGGAUUUGUGGCGAUUCCGGAAGAGAUUAAGAAACAAAACCUUGUCUAGUUCCAGGAACAGUAAUUGCACUAUAUGCAAAACGUGUUUGACAUUUCACACUGUGAAAAACAAUUCUUUUAUUAAGUGAGGAUCUUGUAGUUUUAUAUUUUCAAAGCAA